GGGUGAUUAGCUCAGCUGGGAGAGGUAGAGCAGUUGACUUUUAAUCAAUUGGUCGCAGGUUCGAAUCCUGCACGACCCACCA
Molecule: transfer RNA, 82 nt
Filed under: Klebsiella pneumoniae
Lineage: Bacteria; Pseudomonadati; Pseudomonadota; Gammaproteobacteria; Enterobacterales; Enterobacteriaceae
Description: tRNA-Lys
Rfam family: tRNA
About the family: Transfer RNA (tRNA) molecules are approximately 80 nucleotides in length.
Source: RNAcentral